AGUGAACGCUGGCGGCAGGCCUAAUACAUGCAAGUCGAACGGCAGCACAGUGGAGCUUGCUCCAUGGGUGGCGAGUGGCGGACGGGUGAGGAAUACAUGGGAAUCUGCCCAGUCGUGGGGGAUAACGUAGGGAAACUUACGCUAAUACCGCAUGCGCCCUUCGGGGGAAAGCCGGGGACCUUCGGGCCUGGCGCGAUUGGAUGAGCCCAUGUUCGAUUAGCUAGUUGGCGGGGUAAAGGCCCACCAAGGCGACGAUCGAUAGCUGGUCUGAGAGGAUGAUCAGCCACACUGGGACUGAGACACGGCCCAGACUCCUACGGGAGGUAGCAGUAGGGAAUAUUGGACAAUGGGCGCAAGCCUGAUCCAGCCAUGCCGCGUGAGUGAAGAAGGCCCUCGGGUUGUAAAGCUCUUUUGUCCGGGAAGAAAAGCAUCGGGCUAAUACCUCGGUGUUCUGACGGUGCCGGAAGAAUAAGCACCGGCUAACUUCGUG
Molecule: ribosomal RNA, 490 nt
Filed under: uncultured bacterium
Lineage: Bacteria
Description: partial 16S ribosomal RNA
Rfam family: Bacterial small subunit ribosomal RNA
Source: RNAcentral